CGUGGGAACGUGCCCUUUAGUUCAGAAUAGCCACUGGAAACGGUGAGUAAUACUGGAUACGCCCUUCGGGGGAAAGAUUUAUCGCUAAAGGAUCGGCCCGCGUUGGAUUAGCUUGUUGGUGGGGUAAUGGCCUACCAAGGCGACGAUCUAUAGCUGGUCUGAGAGGAUGAUCAGCCACACUGGGACUGAGACACGGCCCAGACUCCUACGGGAGGCAGCAGUGGGGAAUAUUGGACAAUGGGGGCAACCCUGAUCCAGCCAUGCCGCGUGUGUGAAGAAGGCCCUAGGGUUGUAAAGCACUUUUAGUAGUGAGGAAGGCUCAGCAGUUAAUACCUGCUGGGAUUGACGUUAGCUACAGAAAAAGCACCGGCUAAUUUCGUGCCAGCAGCCGCGGUAAUACGAAAGGUGCAAGCGUUAAUCGGAAUUACUGGGCGUAAAGCGCGCGUAGGCGGCUUGGUAAGUUGGAUGUGAAAGCCCCGGGCUCAACCUGGGAACUGCAUCCAAAACUGCCUAGCUAGAGUAUGGUAGAGGAU
Molecule: ribosomal RNA, 533 nt
Filed under: proteobacterium MS-M-38
Lineage: Bacteria; Pseudomonadati; Pseudomonadota
Description: bacterial SSU rRNA
Rfam family: Bacterial small subunit ribosomal RNA
Source: RNAcentral